UGAGAUAUUAGCUCAGUCGGCAGAGCACCUGCCUUUUAAGCAGGGUGUCCGGAGUUCGAAUCUCCGAUAUCUAACCA
This is a transfer RNA of 77 nucleotides. It matches the Rfam family "tRNA". Rfam says of the family: Transfer RNA (tRNA) molecules are approximately 80 nucleotides in length. Their secondary structure includes four short double-helical elements and three loops (D, anti-codon, and T loops). Further hydrogen bonds mediate the characteristic L-shaped molecular structure. tRNAs have two regions of fundamental functional importance: the anti-codon, which is responsible for specific mRNA codon recognition, and the 3' end, to which the tRNAs corresponding amino acid is attached (by aminoacyl-tRNA synthetases). tRNAs cope with the degeneracy of the genetic code in two manners: having more than one tRNA (with a specific anti-codon) for a particular amino acid; and 'wobble' base-pairing, i.e. permitting non-standard base-pairing at the 3rd anti-codon position.